AUUGAACGCUGGCGGCAUGAUUUACACAUGCAAGUCGAACGGUAACAGGCCGCAAGGUGCUGACGAGUGGCGAACGGGUGAGUAAUGCAUCGGAACGUGCCCAGUCGUGGGGGAUAACUACUCGAAAGAGUGGCUAAUACCGCAUACGAUCUAUGGAUGAAAGCGGGGGACCGUAAGGCCUCGCGCGAUUGGAGCGGCCGAUGUCAGAUUAGGUAGUUGGUGGGGUAAAGGCUCACCAAGCCAACGAUCUGUAGCUGGUCUGAGAGGACGACCAGCCACACUGGGACUGAGACACGGCCCAGACUCCUACGGGAGGCAGCAGUGGGGAAUUUUGGACAAUGGGCGCAAGCCUGAUCCAGCAAUGCCGCGUGCAGGAAGAAGGCCUUCGGGUUGUAAACUGCUUUUGUACGGAACGAAACGGCUCUGGUUAAUACCCGGGGCUAAUGACGGUACCGUAAGAAUAAGCACCGGCUAACUACGUG
RNAcentral lists this ribosomal RNA (482 nucleotides) under uncultured bacterium. RNAcentral's name for it is "partial 16S ribosomal RNA". It matches the Rfam family "Bacterial small subunit ribosomal RNA", at positions 30 to 507 of the family's 1533-position model. The record is from RNAcentral.